This 79-nucleotide microRNA precursor is filed under the name Eptesicus fuscus (big brown bat). RNAcentral's name for it is "microRNA efu-mir-142 precursor". Its record names the gene efu-mir-142. It matches the Rfam family "mir-142 microRNA precursor family". The record is from miRBase by way of RNAcentral. Lineage: Eukaryota; Metazoa; Chordata; Mammalia; Chiroptera; Vespertilionidae.
UGCAGUCACCCAUAAAGUAGAAAGCACUACUAACAGCACUGGAGGGUGUAGUGUUUCCUACUUUAUGGAUGAGUGUACU